Molecule: long non-coding RNA, 2443 nt
Organism: Toxorhynchites rutilus septentrionalis
Lineage: Eukaryota; Metazoa; Arthropoda; Insecta; Diptera; Culicidae
Exons: 3
Source: RefSeq, a predicted model, not a curated record
ACAACCUUAUUCCAAGCAAAAACUUUUCCAAUUGCGUGCCCGCAAUAACCCGGUGGUCAAAGUUAAUAAGAAAUAUAUUGCGAAGAGAUUUCCUUCCCUGUUUUUUUUUUCUUUUUUCCCCUUCGAACUUGGUGAUUUCCCGAUGCAGCGCAACUUCUUCUGCUCAUAACAUCAUACUUUCGCAUGGGUUGCUUUUGGCGCAAGACUUGUUUGUCAGACCAGCAUCGCACUUAUCGGGACGCCACGAGUCGUUUUAAUGCAGCCAAAUUCGAACUAAUUAUCUAACCUAUCUAAUUAGUGGAGGAUUUUAUUAGAUUAUGGAAUAUUUACUCUUCCCCGAAAUCAUCGGUGCACAUCUGAACGCGCCAGAGAGCCAACCCCAUUCCAUUAGGGCGCCCGGCUGAAAUCGUGGAACUUUCCCCAUUGUCGAUUACUUUCGGUCUUCCUCCGGCCGGGGUCCGUGGUUUUUCCGAUUCUCCCUCGUUCAGCGUUUUCCGUUCAUGGCGUCGGGUGUAUCUCAUAUACGAAUACCCGGCGCAGAACUAACACGUACCAAUUGGAUAAUGAGCGGUGGAAUAACCGCCGUUCUCGGAAGGAAACUGCUGACUUUCGUGGCCCUUCUUCUGAUGGGGGGGAUAAUUACGAUCAAUUAUUGAAACAAGAUUGAGGAGGCGUUGGCUCGGAAAAAAUGGUGCUCCGGAUUCGGAAAUGCCGUUUCGAUGUACAACACACGCAGUGAGGAUGAGACAAACUAGGUCAGAUGGAAUGGUCGUAAAUUGGGGGGAGGGUGGAUGAGUCCAAGACGAAUAUCAAUAUGCUCAUAAUGUGUGGCACAUUGUAUCGUAUUAAUGGAUAGGCUGGAAGAUAGAUAUCCAGAUCAGCUGAAUGAGAUUGGAGGCAAAUACAUUAUAUGUAAGUUAUGUUCACGCCAGCACAUUAUGUGGAAUCAAACGAAUGUGUUCCCGGAAAACUCCGAUAAAAUUUUCUCGGAAUGGUUCUAAAUAUCUCCGCACACAUUCGGCACUUCAUGCGAGCAACGAUACCAUACAAUUACUUACCAGCAUCAUUUGUAUACAUUGUUCCAACCGACACGCUCAACAUCCUGGGCAAAACUUGCAGUGUAGUGAACCAUCCCGAAGUUGCCGUUGAAUGCCUGAACGAGGCUUCCCAAAAGCGAAUAAAAAGCCAGGCAAAAGUUAAACCAGAGCUCAAAAACUCCGUGUCGGGUACGAGAGUGAAAAUCGAAAGUAUUUCUCUUGCCAUUCCUGGCCCUGGCCCAGGAUCCCUGCGGAAAGCGGGACGUUUGGAGGAUUCGCCUUUUUUUUUGCUGCUGUUGUUCCUGUGUGGAUGGGCAGAUAAUACGGGGUUGGUUGGCACAUGUGUACGAUGUUUGCUGGAAUUUCACCGUCGUUUCUAGACGACGUGUUUAUGCAUGUUGUCGUGCUUGUGGUUUGUCUGGCAAGCAAUCCUGACGUAUCAGUUUGUGUGUGUGAGUGUGUGAAUGUGUGUAUGCCAGAAUGAAUGUUUCCAUUUAUUUCAGUAUAUGUGUGAUUGUAUGUGGGCGGAACACGCGCCUCUUCCCAUGUGAUGAGGAGGGUAGUAAAAACUGCAACCGGGAAAAGUGAAAACUCAUCCUUCGCAUUCUUUUGGUGGCGGGCCGUUAAAAAACAAAGCUGCAUACGACUCCGUGCUCUCGACAUGAACGAGGAAAGGCAAAAUUUUCCGCCUCUUUGUUUCUCGAUUGGUGAGAGUUUUUAAAAUGUAUAGCACUUUGGCGUGGUUAGAUGUUUACCCGAUGUUUGGAAUAUGCUUUACAAUAAAUUGUCUGUGCUUACUGGAAGGAUCGUGCGGGUUACACCGUCGAAAUAACUGUGGGAUGUUGGCUUUUUUAGUUUCGGACUGGAGAUUCUUUCUGUGGCUAUCCCCACUCGUAAGCUGGCAUGAUCCCAGACUCGUAAUAUUUAUUUACCAAAAACCAUCCAAGUUAUGGGAUUGAAGGUAACGGCGAGUUUGUCGCUAAGAUUGGAAUCUUUCUUCAACACAUCAUCGACCGUAAAAAACUUAAGGGACACGAGAGAACAAAAUACGGAUGAAACGUGCUAAUUCUGCCGUCACUCUGCUAAUCAGCUAAUUCAAAUCAGAGCGAUGCAGCAGGAAGAGGAACGGGAACUUGCUUUGGAAAUGCUCAUCAAAUUGAGGUGGUUGAGGCUGCGAUUAAAAUUUGCCUCUUGUACGCAGUUUAUAGAAUGAUUCCAACGAGAAUUAUUGAUGUUGUUUAUAGAAUAAGUUAUUAGUAUAAUGUAUUCUAAGUAUGUAGAAUUAAACGCAAUCAAAUACAAUUUUUUAAAUUAAAAAUAAUCAUUAAAAAAUAUUGUCAUUAUCCCUGAUGAUUACUUCUCACAAAUAUGAAGCAAAAUUUUCACUGUUAUUGCACCAAUGUUGG